RNAcentral lists this ribosomal RNA (460 nucleotides) under uncultured bacterium. Its description in RNAcentral is "partial 16S ribosomal RNA". It matches the Rfam family "Bacterial small subunit ribosomal RNA", at positions 338 to 795 of the family's 1533-position model. The record is from RNAcentral.
CCUACGGGCGGCAGCAGUGAGGAAUAUUGGUCAAUGGGCGCUAGCCUGAACCAGCCAAGUAGCGUGAAGGAUGACUGCCCUAUGGGUUGUAAACUUCUUUUAUAUGGGAAUAAAGUGCAGUAUGUAUACUGCUUUGCAUGUACCUUAUGAAUAAGGAUCGGCUAACUCCGUGCCAGCAGCCGCGGUAAUACGGAGGAUCCGAGCGUUAUCCGGAUUUAUUGGGUUUAAAGGGAGCGUAGGCGGGUUGUUAAGUCAGUUGUGAAAGUUUGCGGCUCAACCGUAAAAUUGCAGUUGAUACUGGCAUCCUUGAGUACAGUAGAGGUAGGCGGAAUUCGUGGUGUAGCGGUGAAAUGCUUAGAUAUCACGAAGAACUCCGAUUGCGAAGGCAGCCUGCUGGACUGUAACUGACGUUGAGGCACGAAAGCGUGGGUAGCAAACAGGAUUAGAUACCCCUGUAGUC